This is a long non-coding RNA of Notolabrus celidotus (New Zealand spotty), 537 nucleotides long. RefSeq lists it as uncharacterized. The record is from RefSeq and is a predicted model, not a curated record. The transcript has 3 exons. NCBI's taxonomy places the organism in Eukaryota, Metazoa, Chordata, Actinopteri, Labriformes, Labridae.
UCUGAAAAGAGCUGCACUUACCAUCACUAGCCCAUACAGUGGGUGGCGGUAUGGCGCACAAUUGAAAGCUGAAGUAGAAACCGUAGAAGAAGAACUGAAGAAGGCGGAAGCAGUUAGCUGCGCAUGUGUGAGGAAGGCUACCAAAGAAAAGUUGAUUUUGAGGCAAGGAGAGUCUUUUUUCGGAUGAAGUGCAACAAUGUGCACAUUUUGAGCAUAAUAAGAUAAUUUAAUUUGUAUGUUAUCCAUUUUUUUAAUUAUUAGCAUGAUUUAAAACGAGGUUUCGCUCAGCGAGGUUGACUGAAAACUGCACACGUGGGGAUCCCUGUUCAGUAAUCAGGUUACCUGGAGAACAUUGUGUCCUGUGUCCAGAGUGAAAUGAACAUGCAUGGUCGUCUUUCUGAGCUGGAAGUGAAAUUUCUGAAAGUGUCGACACACCUUUUAAUCUGCAGCAGCAUCUCAACAAUGAGCACUUUCUGGUUUGUCUUUGUUCUUUAGUUAAAGUCAUUCUAACGUAAUAAAUACCCAUUUUGAAGCAAA